AGAGUUUGAUACUGGCUCAGGACUAACGCUGGCGGCGUGUCUUAGCCAUGCAAGUCGAACGGACCAAUUUUUAGUAGUAAUACUGUUUAUUGGUUAGUGGCGAAUGGGUGAGUAACACGUGAAUAAUCUACCCCGAAGAGGUGGAUAACAGGUCGAAAGGCCUGCUAAUACGCCAUAUGCUCACGACUCCUUGGAGUAGUGAGAAAAGGGUGGCCUCUGCUUGCAAGCUAUCGCUUCGGGAUGAGUUCGCGUCCUAUCAGCUAGUUGGUGAGGUGAUGGCUCACCAAGGCAAUGACGGGUAGCCGGCCUGAGAGGGUGAACGGCCACACUGGAACUGAGAAACGGUCCAGACUCCUACGGGAGGCAGCAGGCUAGAAAAUUGGGCAAUGGGCGCAAGCCUGACCCAGCGACGCCGCGUGAGGGAUGAAGGUCUUCGGAUUGUAAACCUCUGUUAGGAACGAAAAAGGGAAUAAUUCCCAAUACGAAUUAUUCUUGAUGGUACUUCCAAAGAAAGCACCGGCUAACUCCGUGCCAGCAGCCGCGGUAAUACGGGGGGUGCAAGCGUUGUCCGGAAUUACUGGGUGUAAAGGGGAUGUAGGCGGAUAGAUAAGUUAAACGUGAAAACUAAGGGCUCAACCUUUAGCCUGCGUUUAAUACUGUUUAUCUUGAGUUCGGAAUAGGAGAACGGAACUUCCAGUGUAGCAGUGGAAUGCGCAGAUAUUGGAAGGAACACCAGUGGCGAAGGCGGUUCUCUGGUACGAAACCGACGCUAAUCUCCGAAAGCUAGGGGAGCAAACAGGCUUAGAUACCCUGGUAGUCCUAGCUGUAAACGAUGGAUACUAGGCGUUUCCAUUAGGAAGUGCCGAAGCUAACGCAUUAAGUAUCCCACCUGGGGAGUACGAUCGCAAGGUUGAAACUCAAAGGAAUUGACGGG
Molecule: ribosomal RNA, 934 nt
Filed under: uncultured bacterium
Lineage: Bacteria
Description: bacterial SSU rRNA
Rfam family: Bacterial small subunit ribosomal RNA
Source: RNAcentral